AUGAGAUAGUUAUCUUUACCAUUCAAUGAGAGAGGUAAAUAUUUAAUGUCAGUGAAACAUAAUACGUCCGUCCCAUUGUUCAGUCAAAUAUACAGUCAGGUACAAGAAUUCCUUGAAGGAAAACAUUCUUAUGUUACUGGUUUCCUAUAGACGCAUCUGCUUUUAUUUCUGCACCUUUGCUGUCUUUCUAUCUGUAAACGUGCAUUCUAGGCUUCUCUUGAUGUUAAACAGGUGAAGUUUAUGUACUCGAUGAUGGCGGAGAGGUGGAUCUGGAUUUGGGUAAUUACGAACGCUUCCUGGACAUCACUCUUCAUAGAGACAAUAACAUAACAACUGGAAAAAUUUAUCAAUAUGUCAUUACGAAGGAGAGACGGGGAGAUUACUUAGGAAAAACAGUACAAGUGGUGCCCCAUAUUACAGAUGCUAUUCAGGAAUGGGUAGAGAGAGUCGCAAAUCAAUCUGUAACAGAAGAUGGAACUAAACCAGAGGUUUGCAUAUUGGAAUUGGGAGGCACAAUAGGGGAUAUAGAGGGAAUGCCAU
Molecule: long non-coding RNA, 540 nt
Organism: Trachymyrmex septentrionalis
Lineage: Eukaryota; Metazoa; Arthropoda; Insecta; Hymenoptera; Formicidae
Exons: 3
Source: RefSeq, a predicted model, not a curated record